This 499-nucleotide ribosomal RNA is filed under the name uncultured Glomeromycotina. RNAcentral's name for it is "partial small subunit ribosomal RNA". It matches the Rfam family "Eukaryotic small subunit ribosomal RNA", at positions 591 to 1092 of the family's 1831-position model. Lineage: Eukaryota; Fungi; Glomeromycota. The record is from RNAcentral.
CCAAUAGCGUAUAUUAAAGUUGCUGCAGUUAAAAAGCUCGUAGUUGAAUUUCGGAACCAAUAUGUCGGUCGUGCCUCGGUACGUACUGGCAUCGUUGGUUUCUCCUUUCUGAAGAACCAUGAUGUCAUUUAUUUGGUGUCGUGGGGAAUCAGGACUGUUACUUUGAAAAAAUUAGAGUGUUUAAAGCAGGCUCACGCUUGAAUACAUUAGCAUGGAAUAAUGAAAUAGGACGUUUGAUUCUAUUUUGUUGGUUUCUAGGAUUGACGUAAUGAUUAAUAGGGAUAGUUGGGGGCAUUAGUAUUCAAUUGUCAGAGGUGAAAUUCUUGGAUUUAUUGAAGACUAACUACUGCGAAAGCAUUUGCCAAGGAUGUUUUCAUUAAUCAAGAACGAAAGUUAGGGGAUCGAAGACGAUCAGAUACCGUCGUAGUCUUAACCAUAAACUAUGCCGACUAGGGAUCGGAUGAUGUUAAUUUUUUAAUGACUCAUUCGGCGCCUUACG